GGCCACAGCCAAAUCCCCCUGCAGCCCAAGACCGGUUACUCACUGAAGCUAAGCAGGGCUGAUCCUGGUCAAUACCUGGAUGGUAGACCUCAUGGGAAAACUUUGUUGCUGUUGGAA
This is a ribosomal RNA of Danio rerio (zebrafish), 117 nucleotides long. The record is from Ensembl. Lineage: Eukaryota; Metazoa; Chordata; Actinopteri; Cypriniformes; Danionidae.